This 659-nucleotide ribosomal RNA is filed under the name uncultured Crater Lake bacterium CL0-114. RNAcentral's name for it is "bacterial SSU rRNA". It matches the Rfam family "Bacterial small subunit ribosomal RNA", at positions 8 to 671 of the family's 1533-position model. The record is from RNAcentral.
AGAGUUGAUCCUGGCUCAGGAUGAACGCUAGCGGCAGGCUUAACACAUACAAGUCGAGGGGUAUAGUAGCAAUACUAGAGACCGGCGCACGGGUGCGUAACGCGUAUGCAAUCUACCUUUUACAGAGGGAUAGCCCAGAGAAAUUUGGAUUAAUACCUCAUAGUAUAGCGACCUGGCAUCAGGAUUCUAUUAAAGUCACAACGGUAAAAGAUGAGCAUGCGUCCCAUUAGCUAGUUGGUAAGGUAACGGCUUACCAAGGCGACGAUGGGUAGGGGUCCUGAGAGGGAGAUCCCCCACACUGGUACUGAGACACGGACCAGACUCCUACGGGAGGCAGCAGUGAGGAAUAUUGGACAAUGGGCGCAAGCCUGAUCCAGCCAUGCCGCGUGCAGGAUGACGGUCCUAUGGAUUGUAAACUGCUUUUGUACAGGAAGAAACCCUUUCACGUGUGAGAGAUUGACGGUACUGUAAGAAUAAGGAUCGGCUAACUCCGUGCCAGCAGCCGCGGUAAUACGGAGGAUCCAAGCGUUAUCCGGAAUCAUUGGGUUUAAAGGGUCCGUAGGCGGCCAGAUAAGUCAGUGGUGAAAGCCCAUCGCUCAACGGUGGAACGGCCAUUGAUACUGUCUGGCUUGAAUUACAAGGAAGUAACUAGAAUAUGU